This 305-nucleotide ribosomal RNA is filed under the name uncultured bacterium. RNAcentral describes it as "bacterial SSU rRNA". It matches the Rfam family "Bacterial small subunit ribosomal RNA", at positions 337 to 659 of the family's 1533-position model. The record is from RNAcentral.
ACCUACGGGGCGCAGCAGUGGGGAAUAUUGCACAAUGGGGGGAACCCUGAUGCAGCGACGCCGCGUGGGUGAAGGAGUACUUCGGUACGUAAAGCCCUAUCAGCAGGAAAGAAAAUGACGGUACCUGACUAAGAAGCCCCGGCUAACUACGUGCCAGCAGCCGCGGUAAUACGUAGGGGGCAAGCGUUAUCCGGAUUUACUGGGUGUAAAGGGAGGGUAGACGGCAGUGCAAGUCCGGAGGGAAAGCCCGGGGCUCAACCCUGGGAAUGGUCCGGAAACUGUAAAGCUGGAGGGCGGGAGGGGGG